CCCUUAGAUGUUCUGGGCCGCACGCGUGCUACACUGAGUGGAUCAGCGGGUCAGGUUGCGCGAAAGUGUUUCCUAAUCUUGAAAUCCGCUCGUGAUGGGGAUUGACGGUUGCAAUUUUCCGUCAUGAACGAGGAAUACCUUGUAAGCGCGGGUCAUCAUCCCGCGCUUAAUACGUCCCUGCCCUUUGUACACACCGCCCGUCGCUCCUACCGAUUGAGUGGUCCGGUGAGGCUUUGGGAUCUGAGCGGAAAGAGCGUUUCGCUGUUUCUGCUCGGAAAACUCAGCCGAACCUUAUCAUUUAGAGGAAGGAGAAGUCGUAACA
RNAcentral lists this ribosomal RNA (322 nucleotides) under uncultured eukaryote. RNAcentral's name for it is "partial 18S ribosomal RNA". It matches the Rfam family "Eukaryotic small subunit ribosomal RNA", at positions 1470 to 1796 of the family's 1831-position model. The record is from RNAcentral.